UACUUUUUAUUUUUAUUUAUUUUUAUUUUUGAAACAAGUUAAAUAUCCUGAGUGGCCAUGAGUUUGUUGCAUUCCUUAUGUAUGAACAACACAUCUAGAUUUUAAAAGAAAAUAGUUUAUUUUAAAAGUGAUACAGACAGGAAAUGUUUUGCGUUUCAGAGACAUCACUGUACAUGGCGGCUAUUAGACUUCUUGAGUGAGUGAAUUCCGUGCUGGGCUACUGGUACUUCAGCAAAAAGAAAAGUGAAAAGGUGUUUCAGGUGAGUGAUCUUGCAUGUAUGGAUCUAAAUAAAUAUUUAAGCACUUUUAUGAAAUGUUUAAAAAAAUAAUUUCCUGUAAAAACAAACCUAGCUCCCCGUCUGGUGUCCUCUCCCUACAAUAUUAUCACAUGGUUAGGUUGAAACCUGUUCUGCACAAUUUUCCCAUCAACAAUUCCAAUAGUGAAGGAAACAAACUCUACACCUUAGAACUUUGGACGCAGAUCUUAAAAAAAAAAAAAAAUCCCCCAAAGCACUGCGGUCUAUGUUAUUUUGUCUGAAU
Molecule: long non-coding RNA, 540 nt
Filed under: Rattus norvegicus (Norway rat)
Lineage: Eukaryota; Metazoa; Chordata; Mammalia; Rodentia; Muridae
Description: long non-coding RNA NONRATT008592
Source: RNAcentral